AACGAACGCUGGCGGCAGGCCUAACACAUGCAAGUCGAGCGAGAUCUUCGGGUCUAGCGGCGGACGGGUGAGUAACGCGUGGGAAUAUGCCCUUCUCUGCGGAAUAGCCUCGGGAAACUGAGCGUAAUACCGCAUACGCCCUUUGGGGGAAAGAUUUAUCGGAGAAGGAUUAGCCCGCGUUGGAUUAGGUAGUUGGUGGGGUAACGGCCUACCAAGCCGACGAUCCAUAGCUGGUUUGAGAGGAUGAUCAGCCACACUGGGACUGAGACACGGCCCAGACUCCUACGGGAGGCAGCAGUGGGGAAUCUUAGACAAUGGGGGCAACCCUGAUCUAGCCAUGCCGCGUGAGUGAUGAAGGCCUUAGGGUUGUAAAGCUCUUUCAGCUGGAAAGAUAAUGACGGUACCAGCAGAAGAAGCCCCGGCUAACUCCGUG
This 433-nucleotide ribosomal RNA is filed under the name uncultured bacterium. RNAcentral's name for it is "partial 16S ribosomal RNA". It matches the Rfam family "Bacterial small subunit ribosomal RNA", at positions 29 to 507 of the family's 1533-position model. The record is from RNAcentral.